This is a long non-coding RNA of Arvicola amphibius (Eurasian water vole), 1778 nucleotides long. RefSeq lists it as uncharacterized. The record is from RefSeq and is a predicted model, not a curated record. Lineage: Eukaryota; Metazoa; Chordata; Mammalia; Rodentia; Cricetidae. The transcript is spliced from 3 exons.
CUCUGCUGCAGCUGCAAUCUCCGUACCCAUGUUUCAAGGGGAUGUUGAAGUAAGCAUUGUGGGUACUCCUCAGAAGCACGGACACAGGAGGACAUUGACACGGUUGAUAGACAGGUUCUGUGGGUUUGUGCGAAGAAGUUGUCUUUGUUAGGGUUUUAUUGCUCUGAAAAGACACCAUGACCAUGGCAACUCUAAUAAGGUAAACCUUUAAUUGAGGGGGCUUACUUACAGCUUCACAGGUUCGGUCCAUUAUCAUCACUGGGGGGCGGAGCACGGCAGUGUGCGGUGGUGCUGGAUCUUGCAGGCAACAGGAAGUCAACUGACCCACUGGGUGGUAUAAUGAGCAUAGGAAGCCUCAAGGCCCUCUCCCACAGUGAUCGUACUUCCUCCAACAAGGACACAUCUAUUCCAAGUUGCCAAACCUACAGAGUAGAAGGAAUGCAUGCCUAUCACUAAAGGGGCUGAAGCAAGAAAAUUGUAAGUUUGGGGACAGCCUGGGCUACACAGUGAGAACAUACGUUGAAGAAAGAAGAAAAUAGAGUUCUUUGGAAGUCAGUCUACUACUAAAAAAUGAAAACGUUAAAUCUGGAGGAAAGAACACUCUUGAUGAAGCGGGGCUAGUGGAUGGAAGUUACAUCAUUGGGGGUGUACCCUUGAAGGGAAUGCUGAGAUCCAAGCUGUUUCCCAUCUUGUGCUUUCUGUCUGACAUGAGGUGAUGGGGCUUCUUCUGCCAUGAUGAUCAUUCUGGUCCAAAGCAGCAAGACCAAGAAAUCCUGAACUGAAACCUCUAAAACUGUGAAUCAAAGUAAACCUUCCUUCCUUUUACACUGACUACCUCAGGCAUUUUGUCUCAGCAGUAGGAGGUGAAGACAGGUCCUAAGAUGUCUUCACCGAAUGAAGAAUGGUGUUCAGUCUAGAAGGGUAGCUGGCUGCACAAGCAGCCCUGUUUUGUUUUCAUUUGUUCCCUGGGUGUGGGAAGCCGGCAGAACAAUUUUUGCUUUGGGAGUUUCCAUCUCCAUUUUUUAUUUCUCUGUUCAAUCAUCUGAUGUAUUGAAAAACCGCGCAGGAAAGCUAUAGCUGUAGACGCUUGGCCAGGAGAACAAACUCAUGGUAGCUGCAUUUCUUAUUUAGAAAUCUGAGUCCCAAACAAACAUAAAACAGCACAUAUCUAUGAGUUCCAUAACUCAGAUAGCAAAAAAAGUGGGUUUCAUCAAAGUACCUAAGAAUUUAUCAAUUGUCCAUAUAUCCAAGAAAAGUGAACACAUUUUGUCUACACUCAUGCUCCAGCCAACAGUCUUAUAAGAACUCGAAGCCUGGCUUCUGAGUUCCUCCUUCCCCACUGUCUUCCUCAGUCAGAACCAUUCUGUCUUCUUAAUAUCUGCCCAAAGAACAGUAUUUUAGCAGCAGGGUUUAUACAGAUAUCUUACACGAAGAGGAGAAAUUGCCCCAAUGUCUUCCCCAAUAAGGCAACAUGAUGGCAUGUCUUCCCUUAAAUCUGUUUGUGACUGACAGCCCAUGGUCUUCCCAGUCCCCCACCUCCACCCUCAGCCUUUCUUUUGCCAAGAGUUUGGUCCAAAUCACAAUCAAGACGCAGAGUUGAAGAGGUGACCUAUGGCCUAGAGAAGCAUGGAGUCAUUUGACUCUGUCCACAGGCCACUCACAUGGACAGAGAAACUGGGUCUGUCAGCUACAAGCCCCUGGAGGAUUCUCAGUCUCUGACUCUACGUGACCCCACGCGGCAGAAAGCAAGUCUCUGGUCACCCUAACCGGUUCAGCAA